UACGUAGGGCGCAAGCGUUGUCCGGAAUUAUUGGGCGUAAAGAGCUCGUAGGCGGCCUGUUGCGUCCGCUGUGAAAUCCCGGGGCUUAACCCCGGGCCUGCAGUGGAUACGGGCAGGCUGGAGGCAGGCAGGGGGAGAACGGAAUUCCCGGUGUAGCGGUGAAAUGCGCAGAUAUCGGGAGGAACACCGGUGGCGAAGGCGGUUCUCUGGGCCGAAAUUGACGCUGAGGAGCGAAAGCGUGGGGAGCAAACAGG
This 254-nucleotide ribosomal RNA is filed under the name uncultured bacterium. RNAcentral describes it as "partial 16S ribosomal RNA". It matches the Rfam family "Bacterial small subunit ribosomal RNA", at positions 524 to 776 of the family's 1533-position model. The record is from RNAcentral.